AUAAUGUGAGAGGCAGUUUUUGUAAAUGGAAAAAGAGAAAACAAGAACUUGAAAGUGUCGUCUAAACAAAAUUUAUAGGAAAUGAGGACCCAAAAAAUCAUGAUUUCUAGCUUAUUGACCAACAUUCCAAUUGAAAGUGUAUCUACAGUUGACGAUCUCAAUAGCAAUAAGGUUGGUGUUGAACAGGAAGAAUGUCUAGCAGCUAACACCUCACACUUAACAGGGAAAAGGCUGGAUUUGUCUGAUAGAACAAUGAAAACCAAACUUAAAAGGAGUUAGAAAAAUUGAAGAAGAAGAAAUUAAAAAAGAAAAAUAACAAGAAGUGGUCCUGAAUUGCCAAACUUGCACAAGCCACCGAGGCAGCAUCAGUGUCAUCAACCUCUGAUCCCACAGAGUUUGUCAAAACAGGUAUUCCUGAACCAAGACCAACAAGUACACCGCUAACACCAAUUUUCAACAGUGAAGGCUGCCUAGUAUUCAGCAAAUUUGAUUUAGGAGAACUAUCUAAUCCCUCACCCAUUCUGAACAAGAACACUUUAGAUUGAAAAGUAGCAACGAUAAAAAAAAACUCAAAGCCAAAGUGAAAAUCUUGGAUGGCCAAGCUGAAGUUGGAAUGUGAGAAGUAUUGAAGAGAAACAGGCAUGAAAAGGUGCUUUGCAAAGAGCUGAAGGUUUUCAGGUAAAAAACAAUGUGGAAUGGCUUGCUAAAUCUAUUAUGAAACAAGAUGAAAUCAAAUCAGAUAGUAAAAAGAAGUUGGCUGAACGCAUCGAAGAAUAGGAAAAGAGAAAGGAAUAACAACAGAAAACGAGAAAAGCCAACAUUAAGAAAAAGAAAACUGAGAAGAAAGAACAUAAACUGAA
Molecule: long non-coding RNA, 860 nt
Organism: Daphnia carinata
Lineage: Eukaryota; Metazoa; Arthropoda; Branchiopoda; Diplostraca; Daphniidae
Exons: 3
Source: RefSeq, a predicted model, not a curated record